UGAGUCAAGGGACAAAUGGACACAAAACGGAUGCUUGCAUACGUAUUUGUGUCUAUGAGGACCGCUAAAACAUGAGAAAGCAGCCAUUUUUUGUAAAAAAAUGAGCGAAUUUCGAAUGUUUGCGUGAUUUUGGGAGUGCAGAGCACGAAAAAAUCACGUAUGACUCA
Molecule: small RNA, 167 nt
Filed under: Firmicutes bacterium CAG:56
Lineage: Bacteria; Bacillati; Bacillota
Description: Clostridiales-1 RNA
Rfam family: Clostridiales-1 RNA
Source: Rfam by way of RNAcentral